Molecule: transfer RNA, 93 nt
Filed under: Neolecta irregularis DAH-3
Lineage: Eukaryota; Fungi; Ascomycota; Neolectomycetes; Neolectales; Neolectaceae
Rfam family: tRNA
About the family: Transfer RNA (tRNA) molecules are approximately 80 nucleotides in length. Their secondary structure includes four short double-helical elements and three loops (D, anti-codon, and T loops).
Source: Rfam by way of RNAcentral
GACAACUUGGCCGAGUGGUUAAGGCGAUCGCCUGCUAAUUAUCAGAUUAGCGGUUGGGUUUUACCCGCGCAGGUUCGAAUCCUGCAGUUGUCG